RNAcentral lists this ribosomal RNA (497 nucleotides) under uncultured bacterium. RNAcentral's name for it is "partial 16S ribosomal RNA". It matches the Rfam family "Bacterial small subunit ribosomal RNA", at positions 28 to 507 of the family's 1533-position model. The record is from RNAcentral.
GGGGGGGGCGGGGGGGGGGCCGGGGGCGUGCAGGUCGGGCGAACGGACGAGGAGCUUGCUCCUCUGACGUUAGCGGCGGACGGGUGAGUAACACGUGGAGAACCUACCUAUAAGACUGGGAUAACUUCGGGAAACCGGAGCUAAUACCGGAUAAUAUAUUGAACCGCAUGGUUCAAUAGUGAAAGACGGUUUUGCUGUCACUUAUAGAUGGAUCCGCGCCGCAUUAGCUAGUUGGUAAGGUAACGGCUUACCAAGGCAACGAUGCGUAGCCGACCUGAGAGGGUGAUCGGCCACACUGGAACUGAGACACGGUCCAGACUCCUACGGGAGGCAGCAGUAGGGAAUCUUCCGCAAUGGGCGAAAGCUUGACGGAGCAACGCCGCGUGAGUGAUGAAGGUCUUCGGAUCGUAAAACUCUGUUAUUAGGGAAGAACAAAUGUGUAAGUAACUAUGCACGUCUUGACGGUACCUAAUCAGAAAGCCACGGCUAACUACGUG